CCGGGGUGGAGUAACGCGUGGGUAACCCGCCUCAUACAGGGGGAUAACAGUUAGAAAUGGCUGCUAAUACCGCAUAAGCGCACAGGACCGCAUGGUCUGGUGUGAAAAACUACCGGUGGUAUGAGAUGGACCCGCGUCUGAUUAGCUAGUUGGAGGGGCAACGGCCCACCAAGGCGACGAUCAGUAGCCGGCCUGAGAGGGUGAACGGCCACAUUGGGACUGAGACACGGCCCAG
This 235-nucleotide ribosomal RNA is filed under the name uncultured bacterium. RNAcentral's name for it is "partial 16S ribosomal RNA". It matches the Rfam family "Bacterial small subunit ribosomal RNA", at positions 104 to 334 of the family's 1533-position model. The record is from RNAcentral.